AACGAACGCUGGCGGCAUGCCUAACACAUGCAAGUCGAACGAGACCUUCGGGUCUAGUGGCGCACGGGUGCGUAACGCGUGGGAACCUGCCCUUAGGUUCGGAAUAACUCCCCGAAAGGGGUGCUAAUACCGGCUAAUGUCUUCGGACCAAAGAUUUAUGGCCUUUGGAUGGGCCCGCGUUGGAUUAGCUAGUUGGUAGGGUAAAAGCCUACCAAGGCGACGAUCCAUAGCUGGUCUGAGAGGAUGAUCAGCCACACUGGGACUUGGAAACGGCCCAGACUCCUACGGGAGGCAGCAGUGGGGAAUAUUGGACAAUGGGGGAAAGGCCGAUCCAGCAAUGCCGCGUGAGUGAUGAAGGCCUUAGGGUUGUAAAGCUCUUUUACCCGGGAUGAUAAUGACAGUACCGGGAGAAUAAGCUCCGGCUAACUCCGUG
Molecule: ribosomal RNA, 433 nt
Filed under: uncultured bacterium
Lineage: Bacteria
Description: partial 16S ribosomal RNA
Rfam family: Bacterial small subunit ribosomal RNA
Source: RNAcentral